CUAGGAUCAGUCACCAGUAUCAUCCAACAGCUGGUGAUCAUACAGUCAUUGAAGGACACGCCCCCUCUGAAGGACGACAGCGUCAUCUUCAACUCUGAUAGGCUGGCCGUGGGCAAGGUAUUUGAGGUGUUUGGGCUGA
Molecule: long non-coding RNA, 139 nt
Organism: Coregonus clupeaformis (lake whitefish)
Lineage: Eukaryota; Metazoa; Chordata; Actinopteri; Salmoniformes; Salmonidae
Exons: 3
Source: RefSeq, a predicted model, not a curated record